CAAUAGCGUAUAUUAAAGUUGUUGCAGUUAAAAAGCUCGUAGUCGGAUUUCUGGCUCGGGGGAACGGUCCGUUCGGUUCUGCCGAAUGCGAACUUGUAUCCUUCGGCCAUCCUCGUGGAGAGCUGUCACUGGCUUGACUGUCGGAGGCAUGCAAUCCACGUCAUUUACUGUGAACAAAUUAGAGUGUUCAAAGCAGGCUUACGCCACUGAAUACAUUAGCACGGAAUAAUACUAUAGGACUUUGGUGAUUCUAUUGUUGGUUAAGCACCAGGGUAAUGAUUAAUAGGGAUAGUUGGGGGUAUUCGUAUUCAAUUGUCAGAGGUGAAAUUCUUGGAUUUCUGGAAGACGAACAACUGCGAAAGCAUUUACCAAGGAUGUUUUCAUUGA
RNAcentral lists this ribosomal RNA (387 nucleotides) under uncultured eukaryote. RNAcentral describes it as "partial 18S ribosomal RNA". It matches the Rfam family "Eukaryotic small subunit ribosomal RNA", at positions 592 to 976 of the family's 1831-position model. The record is from RNAcentral.